This 216-nucleotide unclassified non-coding RNA is filed under the name Hevea brasiliensis (rubber tree). The record is from RNAcentral. Lineage: Eukaryota; Viridiplantae; Streptophyta; Magnoliopsida; Malpighiales; Euphorbiaceae.
ACAUUAUUGCAAUAUCAGUGUGGUGGCUAAAUUUAAUUGUUGUCUCCGAAGUGCGGAAAUAGCAUGGUCAAACAUUUCUGCGAUUCGGAAAUGUUUCCGUGUUGGAAACGUUGGAACAUGGCAAGGAAACGUGUCUGGGCCGUGUCCAUAAAUUGCGAAAGUUGGACACACAUUUCCUCUGGGGACUGACUAGGUAAGAACUGUCAAAGUCAGUAA